GGUUGUGUAGUGUAGUGGUUAUCACUUUGGAUUUUGACUGACGUCAAAAUGUCAAACUUUCCAAUAACCCCGGUUCGAACCCGGGCACGACCU
This is a non-coding RNA of Achaetomium macrosporum, 93 nucleotides long. The record is from the annotation of a GenBank genome assembly. Lineage: Eukaryota; Fungi; Ascomycota; Sordariomycetes; Sordariales; Chaetomiaceae.